RNAcentral lists this transfer RNA (73 nucleotides) under Microcoleus vaginatus. Its description in RNAcentral is "tRNA-Ala". It matches the Rfam family "tRNA". Rfam says of the family: Transfer RNA (tRNA) molecules are approximately 80 nucleotides in length. Lineage: Bacteria; Bacillati; Cyanobacteriota; Cyanophyceae; Oscillatoriales; Microcoleaceae. The record is from RNAcentral.
GGGGGUAUAGUUCAGUUGGUAGAGCGCCUGCCUUGCACGCAGGAAGUCAGCGGUUCGAGUCCGCUUACCUCCA